RNAcentral lists this ribosomal RNA (341 nucleotides) under uncultured bacterium. RNAcentral's name for it is "partial 16S ribosomal RNA". It matches the Rfam family "Bacterial small subunit ribosomal RNA", at positions 450 to 795 of the family's 1533-position model. The record is from RNAcentral.
CCUACGGGUGGCGUUCCGAGAGUACCCGAAGAAAAAGCAUCGGCUAAAGCCGGGCCAGCAGCCGAGGUAAGACGGAGGAUGCGAGCGUUAUCCGGAUUUAUUGGGUUUAAAGGGUGCGCAGGCGGAAGAUCAAGUCAGCGGUAAAAUUGAGAGGCUCAACCUCUUCGAGCCGUUGAAACUGGUUUUCUUGAGUGAGUGAGAAGUAUGCGGAAUGCGUGGUGUAGCGGUGAAAUGCAUAGAUAUCACGCAGAACUCCGAUUGCGAAGGUAGCAUACCGGCGCUCAACUGACGCUCAUGCACGAAAGUGUGGGUAUCGAACAGGAUUAGAUACCCUUGUAGUC